UACGUAGGGGGCAAGCGUUGUCCGGAAUCAUUGGGCGUAAAGAGCGUGUAGGCGGCCCGGUAAGUCCGCUGUGAAAGUCCAGGGCUCAACCCUGGGAUGCCGGUGGAUACUGUCGGGCUCGAGUCCGGAAGAGGAGUGUGGAAUUCCUGGUGUAGCGGUGAAAUGCGCAGAUAUCAGGAGGAACACCAAUGGCGAAGGCAGCACUCUGGGACGUGACUGACGCUGAGACGCGAAAGCCAGGGGAGCAAACGGG
This 253-nucleotide ribosomal RNA is filed under the name uncultured bacterium. Its description in RNAcentral is "partial 16S ribosomal RNA". It matches the Rfam family "Bacterial small subunit ribosomal RNA", at positions 524 to 776 of the family's 1533-position model. The record is from RNAcentral.